AUGUGUCCCUACAGGUACACACGUGUCCCCACAUGUACAUACAUGUCCCAUUCAUGUACACACGUGCCCCAUAUAUGCACAUACAUGUCCCCACAUGUCCUCACAUGUCCCAUACAUGUACACACAUGUCCCCACAGGCACAUACAUGUACAUACAAGUACACAUGUCCCAUAUAUGUACAUAUACGGGACACGUACACAUCUCCACAUGUACAUACAUGUACCAUACAUGUCCCAUACAUGUCCCCACGUGUCCCUACAUGCACAUACAUGUCCCCACAUGUACAUAUAUGUCCCCACAUGUCCCAUACAUUUCCCAUACAUGUCCCCACAUGUACAUACAUGUCCAUACAUGUACAUGUGUCCUGUAUAUGCACAUACAUGUCCCCACGUGUUCCUACAUGCACAUACAUGUCCCCACAUGUACAUAUAUGUCCCCACAUGUACACACAUGUUCCAUACAUGUCCCAUACAUGUAUACACGUGUCCCCACAUGCACAUACAAGUCCCCACAUGUACACGUGUCCCAUAUAUGCACAUACAUGUCCCCAUAUGUACAUACAUGUCCCAUACAUGUCCCGUACAUGUACACACGUGUCCCACACAUGCACAUACAUGUCCCCACUUGUACAUACGUGUCUCAUAUAUUCACAUACAUGUCCCCAUAUGUUCACAUGUGUCCCAUAUAUGUACAUACAUGUCUCCACAUGUACAUACGUGUACCAUAGAUGUCCCAUACAUGUCCCCACGUGUCUCUACAAGCACAUACAUGUCCCCACAUGUACAUAUAUGUCCCCACAUGUCCCAUACAUGUCCCAUACAUGUACACACGUGUCCCCACAUGUCCCCCCCCACCCCCCGCCGGGGCCGGUCUCGAACCCGCGGCCCCUCGGUUCCCGGGCUCCGCUUCCCAUCAUGCCCCUGCCACCCGCCGGCUCCGCGGUGCUCCCUGGGAGUUGUAGUCCAGCGGCCGCCCCCCCCGCACUGCGCAGCGCGGGGCGCGGACUCCACCUCCCAUCACCCCUCGCGCGUCGCCCUGCUCCGACACCGCUCCCGCGCCUUUCCCCGCCUCAGCGGGCGGCCGCCAUUUUGCGUGCCGGCUGAGGCGGCGGCGGCGGGGCAGGAGGGCGCGAUGCUGGGCUCCAGGGCGGCCCGCCCGCCGCCGCCGGGGCUGGCGAGGCUCCUCCGUGCUCAGCCGUGGCCUCCGACCCCUCGGGGAGCCUCCGGAGCUCCGACAGCGACUCCCGGGCCGGCGGCAGCGCCGUUGGUCCCGGGCUCGGCCGGCAGGGGCCGCCGCGAGCCCGCUGUGAGGGGGAGCGCGGCCUUGCCCUGGCGGGGGGCGGCCUGCGGGGGGCGGCAAGGCCCGGGGGGAGCCCCCUCGGCUUUGGUCGCUGCGGGGGGCCCGGUGGUUGAGGGGUGUCCCCCCCAUACCGGCCUCGGAGCCCCCGGUGGGCGGCGGAGGGGCUCCUGUGGGGCUGUGCCGCCUGCGGGCCUGCUCGUCGCCGCGCUGGCUGCCUGCUACGUGAGGGACCGAGCCACUAAGGGUGAUUAUUGGUGUCCCCACAGGGCUAUGGGGGGGUUGGGGAGGGUCUCAGGGGGGAAUUGGGGAGCUCUGAGGGGUGAGGGGGGGUGCUGGGUGCCUGUCCCGGGGGGGUGCUGGGCUGUGGGGGUCCCUCAGGUGCUGGGAAUGAGCCUCAGGGUGGGCACAGCUCCUUGGCUGCUCCCUGGGGUCGUGCCCUGUGUGUCAGAGGACAGCAGGGAGCUGUCACCUCACGCAGGGGGUGUGGGCAGUGCUGUGCACCCACCCUGCUGCAGGAUGCUUGAUUUGCUUCAUCUCCCUGCUUCUGUGCCCUCAGCAGGGGACGUUUCAGGCACAGAGGAGCUGAGCACUUCUUGUGUCCUCAACCCCUGUGGGAAGGAAGCGCUUGGUGGGUGGCCACAGCCCCAGCACUAG
Molecule: long non-coding RNA, 1953 nt
Filed under: Anas platyrhynchos platyrhynchos (common mallard)
Lineage: Eukaryota; Metazoa; Chordata; Aves; Anseriformes; Anatidae
Description: lncRNA (ENSAPLG00000025658.1)
Source: RNAcentral